GUUAGGAAUCUUCCACAAUGGGGGCAACCCUGAUGGAGCAACACCGCGUGCUGGAUGAAGGCCUUCGGGUCGUAAACAGCUUUUGUAUACGAAGAAUAUGACGGUAAUAUACGAAUAAGGGUCGGCUAACUACGUGCCAGCAGCCGCGGUCAUACGUAGGACCCAAGCGUUAUCCGGAGUGACUGGGCGUAAAGAGUUGCGUAGGCGGCUUAUUAAGCGAGUAGUGAAAUCUGGUGGCUCAACCAUCAACACAUUGCUCGAACUGAUAGGCUUGAGAAUGGUAGAGGUAGUUGGAAUUUCUUGUGUAGGAGUGAAAUCCGUAGAUAUAAGAAGGAACACCAAUGGCGUAGGCAGACUACUGGACCAUUUCUGACGCUGAGGCACGAAAGCGUGGGGAGCGAACCGGAUUAGAAAUCCGGGUAGUCC
RNAcentral lists this ribosomal RNA (426 nucleotides) under uncultured bacterium. Its description in RNAcentral is "partial 16S ribosomal RNA". It matches the Rfam family "Bacterial small subunit ribosomal RNA", at positions 354 to 796 of the family's 1533-position model. The record is from RNAcentral.